AGAGUUUGAUCAUGGCUCAGGACGAACGCUGGCGGCGUGCUUAACACAUGCAAGUCGAACGGAAAGGCCCCUUCGGGGGUGCUCGAGUGGCGAACGGGUGAGUAACACGUGGGUGAUCUGCCCUGCACUUUGGGAUAAGCCUGGGAAACUGGGUCUAAUACCGAAUACACCUUCCUGGUUGCAUGGCUGGGUUGGGAAAGCUUUUGCGGUGUGGGAUGGGCCCGCGGCCUAUCAGCUUGUUGGUGGGGUGAUGGCCUACCAAGGCGACGACGGGUAGCCGGCCUGAGAGGGUGUCCGGCCACACUGGGACUGAGAUACGGCCCAGACUCCUACGGGAGGCAGCAGUGGGGAAUAUUGCACAAUGGGCGCAAGCCUGAUGCAGCGACGCCGCGUGAGGGAUGACGGCCUUCGGGUUGUAAACCUCUUUCAAUAGGGACGAAGCGCAAGUGACGGUACCUAUAGAAGAAGCACCGGCCAACUACGUGCCAGCAGCCGCGGUAAUACGUAGGGUGCGAGCGUUGUCCGGAAUUACUGGGCGUAAAGAGCUCGUAGGUGGUUUGUCGCGUUGUCCGUGAAAACUCACAGCUUAACUGUGGGCGUGCGGGCGAUACGGGCAGACUGGAGUACUGCAGGGGAGACUGGAAUUCCUGGUGUAGCGGUGGAAUGCGCAGAUAUCAGGAGGAACACCGGUGGCGAAGGCGGGUCUCUGGGCAGUAACUGACGCUGAGGAGCGAAAGCGUGGGGAGCGAACAGGAUUAGAUACCCUGGUAGUCCACGCCGUAAACGGUGGGUACUAGGUGUGGGUUUCCUUCCUUGGGAUCCGUGCCGUAGCUAACGCAUUAAGUACCCCGCCUGGGGAGUACGGCCGCAAGGCUAAAACUCAAAGGAAUUGACGGGGGCCCGCACAAGCGGCGGAGCAUGUGGAUUAAUUCGAUGCAACGCGAAGAACCUUACCUGGGUUUGACAUGCACAGGACGCCGGCAGAGAUGUCGGUUCCCUUGUGGCCUGUGUGCAGGUGGUGCAUGGCUGUCGUCAGCUCGUGUCGUGAGAUGUUGGGUUAAGUCCCGCAACGAGCGCAACCCUUGUCUCAUGUUGCCAGCGCGUUAUGGCGGGGACUCGUGAGAGACUGCCGGGGUCAACUCGGAGGAAGGUGGGGAUGACGUCAAGUCAUCAUGCCCCUUAUGUCCAGGGCUUCACACAUGCUACAAUGGCCGGUACAAAGGGCUGCGAUGCCGUGAGGUGGAGCGAAUCCUUUCAAAGCCGGUCUCAGUUCGGAUCGGGGUCUGCAACUCGACCCCGUGAAGUCGGAGUCGCUAGUAAUCGCAGAUCAGCAACGCUGCGGUGAAUACGUUCCCGGGCCUUGUACACACCGCCCGUCACGUCAUGAAAGUCGGUAACACCCGAAGCCGGUGGCCUAACC
Molecule: ribosomal RNA, 1420 nt
Filed under: Mycobacterium sp. TA5
Lineage: Bacteria; Bacillati; Actinomycetota; Actinomycetes; Mycobacteriales; Mycobacteriaceae
Description: bacterial SSU rRNA
Rfam family: Bacterial small subunit ribosomal RNA
Source: RNAcentral